UGCAACGCGAAAACCUUACCCACCUUUGACAUGGCAGGAAUCCUGAAGAGAUUGGGAGUGCUCGAAAGAGAACCUGCACACAGGUGCUGCAUGGCUGUCGUCAGCUCGUGUCGUGAGAUGUUGGGUUAAGUCCCGCAACGAGCGCAACCCUUGCCAUUAGUUGCUACGAAAGGGCACUCUAAUGGGACUGCCGGUGACAAACCGGAGGAAGGUGGGGAUGACGUCAAGUCCUCAUGGCCCUUAUAGGUGGGGCUACACACGUCAUACAAUGGCCGGUACAGAGGGUAGCCAACCCGCGAGGGGGGAGCCAAUCCCACAAAGCCGGUCGUAGUCCGGAUUGUUCUCUGCAACUCGAGAGCAUGAAGUCGGAAUCGCUAGUAAUCGCAGGUCAGCAUACUGCGGUGAAUACGUUCCCGGGUCUU
Molecule: ribosomal RNA, 422 nt
Filed under: uncultured Allobrachymonas sp.
Lineage: Bacteria; Pseudomonadati; Pseudomonadota; Betaproteobacteria; Burkholderiales; Comamonadaceae
Description: bacterial SSU rRNA
Rfam family: Bacterial small subunit ribosomal RNA
Source: RNAcentral